Molecule: ribosomal RNA, 492 nt
Filed under: uncultured bacterium
Lineage: Bacteria
Description: partial 16S ribosomal RNA
Rfam family: Bacterial small subunit ribosomal RNA
Source: RNAcentral
AGUGAACGCUGGCGGUAGGCCUAACACAUGCAAGUCGAACGGCAGCACAGUAAGAGCUUGCUCUUACGGGUGGCGAGUGGCGGGCGGGUGAGGAAUACAUCGGAAUCUACUUUUUCGUGGGGGAUAACGUAGGGACACUUACGCUAAUACCGCAUACGACCUACGGGUGAAAGCAGGGGAUCUUCGGACCUUGCGCGAUUGAAUGAGCCGAUGUCGGAUUAGCUAGUUGGCGGGGUAAAGGCCCACCAAGGCGACGAUCCGUAGCUGGUCUGAGAGGAUGAUCAGCCACACUGGAACUGAGACACGGUCCAGACUCCUACGGGAGGCAGCAGUGGGGAAUAUUGGACAAUGGGCGCAAGCCUGAUCCAGCCAUACCGCGUGGGUGAAGAAGGCCUUCGGGUUGUAAAGCCCUUUUGUUGGGAAAGAAAAGCAGCAGGUUAAUACCCCGCUGUUCUGACGGUACCCAAAGAAUAAGCACCGGCUAACUUCGUG